AAAUGGUGGUAUGGACAGUUCCUUUGAAGAUCUUUGAACCUUUCCCAAGCCUCAUUCAAUGACUCCCCAUCAUAUUGCAAGAAGUCUAUGAUCUCCUUAGUCAACUU
Small nucleolar RNA from Mercurialis annua (annual mercury), 107 nucleotides. The record is from RefSeq and is a predicted model, not a curated record. Lineage: Eukaryota; Viridiplantae; Streptophyta; Magnoliopsida; Malpighiales; Euphorbiaceae.